This 2683-nucleotide small RNA is filed under the name Pyricularia oryzae. RNAcentral's name for it is "Magnaporthe oryzae sRNA M_BR32_EuGene_00142651". Lineage: Eukaryota; Fungi; Ascomycota; Sordariomycetes; Magnaporthales; Pyriculariaceae. The record is from RNAcentral.
AUUAUUAUUAUUAUUAUUAUUAUUAUUAUUAUUAUUAUUAUUAUUAUUAUUAUUAUUUAUUAAAAAAAGUCGUAUGCAUAUAAUUAAGCUAUUAUUGUAAAGGUUGCACGCUGGCGGUAACCAUUUCGCAAAAGCAAACAACAUCGCAAACCGAGCUUUGCGUUUCUUCAGGAGUGGCCAAAUCCUUAACAGAUUACGUAAUUUAGCCUAAUAUCGUAUCCCUGUCACUGGGCUUUCUCCCGACCCACCCUGGCCUCCUUGUUUACUAUUGCAGGUUAUAUUUACCAAAAUUAUUAGCAUUAGUUAUUAACGGAGGCCUUCGUUUUUAACGAUGUUUUUAAUAUAAUAUUUACUAUAUAGCCAAUAAAGGUCCCUUAAUCUAACCUUUAUAACGCAGGAGGCCAACCAUUCGCGGGCGGCGAGAAAACAUAUAGCGAACCAGCCCAAAUAAGGCAUCCAAUACUAUAAAACGAACGGGACAAACAAAUGGUAGGUUAGAUAACAUGGACAGGAAACAGGCACACGUUCCGAUUCGCGAGCUUGCGAAUCACGAUAUAUAAUUACAAAAUUAUUAUAUAACGGGGCGUUACAUACAAAAUUAUUACUGUUUAUUUUAAUUGUAUAUUUUAUUGGCAAAUAGUAAGGUAUACGUGAAAAAAAUUUGAGCAAUCGGGAAUGGACCAAUUAACGUUAGUUAAUUGUUAUUAAUUGCAGUUUUAAAUUGUAAAAACUUGAAAAUAAUUUGCUGUUUUGCGUAUUAUAUUUUGGUGGGCCAUUUAUUUUACGUUGGGGGAGGAUGGUCAGCAAUAUAAAGAAAAUAUUGCAUAAACGAUACCGUACCGACCUCGGGCCUCGGACAACUUUCCCGUAUUACGCCCACCCACCCCGUUUCGACUUCUCCCUUCAACCACUCCCUUUCGACGAACAUCGUCGGCAAAUUUGUGGAUAAUACAAAAAUUCGAAUAUAUAUUUCCCCCGAUUUGGAUUAUUUUUCUCCCUUAUAACUCCUUAACCCAACAAAACAAAUUACUAUUUAUUAUUUAAUACAAUUAUUUAUUUUGGAAAACACGGUAAAACUUCUAAAUAAAGGCAAGCCUCCAAACUAUAACCCGGGAUUUGGUAUUUAUAAUAUAUUGCACUAAUAUUUACCUUCUCUCAUUUAAUAAAUGGCCGUUUCGAACGAAUAUCAAACUGGGCAACGCCUAUAUAUUCAAAUCGUCCACCGAAACAAAUAUGGUUAAAAUCUCCGAUUGUAACAGUACUUCAUACCCAAAUUCGACGAAUUAUAUACCUUCCAAAAAAUAAAAAACACCGGGUGACGCAAGUUUGUUUGUUUUACAAUAUGCAGGCCGGCAAUUGGGACCUGGAUUUAAAAGGCCUUUAAAGGGUUUAAUGGGUAUAAAACAAAAUUUCGUAUAUUUAAUAUAUAGAAUAACAGGAACUGCGGGAAAAAUCGGUCUGGUUAACAUAUUAUCGAAUAUAUAACAUUCGGUAUUUAAGAAUCCACCACGCUUAUUGCAAUAUAAAUAAUUACACAUUUAACAAAACAUAUUAACAUUCGUUUUUUACCGAAUUAAAAAAGACUCGAUUAAAUAAAUUUUACUAUUAGCGUAAAAACUUAAACACCUUUCCCUUAAUUGGCUCGAAUUCGAAUUUAAAAAUCCCUAAACUGGUAUUUUUCAGGGGAAGACUUUGAUAACCACAUACGAAAUUCGAACAGGGCUUUUAAAUUAUUAUCCGUUCGUACCACCUUAUCUUUUCUAUUAUACCACCCACGUAUCCGUUUAAUUCCGUUUAGCGUUACCUCCGGUACCGAAAAACUAUUAAAAUCGAUAUUAACCGGGACACCAUCCUCGGUUAUCGCAAUAUUGGUUGGGUUCAAAUCGUUAUAUACAAUAUUAAAAACGUGCAAAUAUCGGAUACCCGCCUCGAUCCCAGCGAGGCAAUUCUCGGCGGCCAAUUUCCUAACAGCCGCAAAAUCUUCCAUUUUUAUAAAUUCGGACUUGUUUAGGAAAUCCGGGUUAAAUUUACCCGCGAAAAUUUGCGGGUACCUGGUAAAAUAAAAACCCGUAACGAGCCUUUCGGACACCAGGCAUCCGUGGUACGUUGCUACAUUCGGGUGCGGGUGCUUUUUCAAAAUCUCGCAAACAUUUAGCUCCCGGAGGACGAGGGAUGCCAGGUCCACGUUACCGGCCGUUAUAAAAUCCGGCCGUUUAACGUAAAAAUCUCCCGGCGUUGGUAGGAUAAUGGCUAUAACGGGUGGUGCUGGGCGAUAUAAAAUUUUGCGAAUAAAGGUAAUAUUAUAUAAAAACGACCUGUUAAUUUCGGCAAAAACCGUCUACUAUGGGAAUUGGGCGAAAAAUAUAUCGUCCUCGUCGGCAAAAAAGACAUUACUGUGUAAAAAUACAACUUUCUUACCCACAAAAAAAUACGUUUGGUUAAUCUGCAAAAUUCUUAUUACCGCGGUAAGAAAAAGCGAUCCGAUUUUUUUAUAUUAUUUCGUAUUGGAAUUGAAAAUAAUAAAGAAUAUCGUCUAUUGGGGGAUCUUUUACCUUCUUGCGAGGCUCUCUUUAUUAAAACAUUAUAAAAAAUUCUGUUAAACGAUAUAUUAAUAUUUAACGACGGCUCCGAACAAUUUAAUUAAAACCAAGGCCAUUUGGUGGGAUACGGGUUUAUUAUAUAU